CCUUUGCGCCGACCUCAGAGCAAGUG
RNAcentral lists this ribosomal RNA (26 nucleotides) under Umma saphirina. Its description in RNAcentral is "partial 28S ribosomal RNA". The record is from RNAcentral. Lineage: Eukaryota; Metazoa; Arthropoda; Insecta; Odonata; Calopterygidae.